GUCCAGACUCCUACGGGAGGCAGCAGUGGGGAAUAUUGCACAAUGGGGGGAACCCUGAUGCAGCGAUGCCGCGUGGGUGAAGGAGCACCUCGGUGCGUAAAGCCCUAUCGGCAGGGAAGAAACAGACGGUACCUGACUAAGAAGCCCCGGCUAACUACGUGCCAGCAGCCGCGGGAAUACGUAGGGGGCAAGCGUUAUCCGGAUUCACUGGGUGUAAAGGGAGCGUAGACGGCGACGCAAGUCUGGAGUGAAAGCCCGGGGCCCAACCCCGGGACUGCUCUGGAAACUGUAUGGCUGGAGUGCAGGAGAGGUAAGUGGAAUUCCUAGUGUAGCGGUGAAAUGCGUAGAUAUUAGGAGGAACACCAGUGGCGAAGGCGGCUUACUGGACUGUAACUGACGUUGAGGCUCGAAAGCGUGGGGAGCAAACAGGAUUAGAUACCCUCGUAUG
RNAcentral lists this ribosomal RNA (448 nucleotides) under uncultured bacterium. RNAcentral's name for it is "bacterial SSU rRNA". It matches the Rfam family "Bacterial small subunit ribosomal RNA", at positions 329 to 793 of the family's 1533-position model. The record is from RNAcentral.